Molecule: ribosomal RNA, 292 nt
Filed under: uncultured bacterium
Lineage: Bacteria
Also listed under: 1 other name
Description: partial 16S ribosomal RNA
Source: RNAcentral
GGACUACCAGGGUUUCUAAUCCUGUUUGCUCCCCUAGCUUUCGUGCCUCAGUGUCAGAUGUUGUCCAGGGACCCGCCUUCGCCACUGGUGUUCCACUUGAUAUCUACGCAUUUCACUGCUACACCAAGUAUUCCGGUCCCCCCUCCAAAUCUCGAGCAGGAUAGUAUUCAAUGCAGUUUCCGGGUUAAGCCCGGAGAUUUCACAUCAAACUUACCCUGCCACCUACGCACCCUUUACGCCCAGUGAAUCCGAACAACGCUUGGGACCUCUGUAUUACCGCGGCGGCUGGCAC